Molecule: ribosomal RNA, 253 nt
Filed under: uncultured bacterium
Lineage: Bacteria
Description: partial 16S ribosomal RNA
Rfam family: Bacterial small subunit ribosomal RNA
Source: RNAcentral
UACGGAGGGUGCGAGCGUUAUCCGGAUUCACUGGGUUUAAAGGGUGCGUAGGUGGGUAUGUAAGUCAGUGGUGAAAUCUCUGGGCUUAACUCAGAAACUGCCAUUGAUACUAUGUUUCUUGAAUUUUCUGGAGGUCAGCGGAAUAUGUCAUGUAGCGGUGAAAUGCUUAGAUAUGACAUAGAACACCAAUUGCGAAGGCAGCUGGCUACAGGGAUAUUGACACUGAGGCACGAAAGCGUGGGGAUCAAACAGG